Long non-coding RNA from Peromyscus leucopus (white-footed mouse), 3707 nucleotides. RefSeq lists it as uncharacterized. The record is from RefSeq and is a predicted model, not a curated record. NCBI's taxonomy places the organism in Eukaryota, Metazoa, Chordata, Mammalia, Rodentia, Cricetidae. The transcript is spliced from 2 exons.
AGCCACUGUCACUCAACAUACCGGGCAUCCUUUGGCUUAGAUGGUGGCAUGGUUUUGAGGCUGAUAUAUGUGUCACCCCUCCUCCACUCCCUAGAGGUGGGGUGUAGACAAUUAAGGUACCAAAUAUCUUUAGGAUAUGUACUGACUAAAGGUAGAAUGUUGAUUUUGUCUCUUUGGGCUGGCUAGCAAGCAGUGCAGUAUAAAUGGCUCAUAGUUCAUGCAUUAGGGAGUGGAGAUCAAGACAGAGAUGAAUCCUCUCUACCAGAAUUCUGCUUCCAUGACUAGUAGCUGUCUUGAUGAUUUUCACUUCCCAAAGGUUCCUUUACUUAACAACAAGGUUGAAGGAUGCCUGAGAUCAGGGCUGGCCUGAGAUAGCUGUACAUCACGGCCAACUAAUAAUUUAAUGUUUUUUUCAAAAUCCAAAUUUCAGAUAAGAUCUAUGUAUCUUUUUCUGCAAAUUCAUGAGAUGAACUUGAGGGUAGUUUAAUAUUUCUACUGUGAUGGGAGAUUUUCCCUCUGACAGUCCUCCCUCCCCGACUUGGUUGGGAUGGGAUGGGGCCUGUUAUGAAUGCUUGGAAAAAUCUUGACCCAGAGAACUUGAACAGAGACACACAUAGUUCUAUUUUACCAGUUCAGCUUCGAAGAAGGAUGUCAUCAGGAAGCUGCCCUUCAGAAGACUGGCACGUCUCACCCACGGCCCUCAGUUGGCAAAAAUCUUCCGAGGACCUUCUGCCUUGUUCUAAUGGCUGUAGUUUCUAAGUGUGAUCACAGUCCCUUUGGAACCCCACCCAGAUGCCUUCUAAGUCCUUUGGAGGAAGAGAAGAGAACAUCUGGCUGUCUUCUAUGCAUAGAAGUAGGCUACAAAGGGUAAAUGAAAGGACGUUUUCUCCACCUACUCAGUCCAGGCAGCCCAGUUUACUUUCAGAUAGGUGCAUAAACAUGGAUGGUUAGGAUAGAUGGGCUCAAAUGAAAGAGAAGAAUGACCAAAGGUGGCUUAUAACCAUUUCAACUCCAAUUCCAGGGGAUCUUAUUCGGUGCCCUCUUUUGGCCUCCAUCGACACCAGGUACACACAUAGUGCACAGACAUACAUGCAGGUAAAACAUCUAUACACAUGAAAUAAUUAUAACAAUAAUGAUAAAGAUCAUCCAAGGGUAGUCCAUUCCAAAUCUCAGUUGGAAAUCUAGAGCAAGAUUGCCUUUUUCUUGUAAUAACCAUUUACUUUUCUAACAUAUCAGCAAAUUUCACUGAAGAGGGUUCAUCAUGGCCUAGUCUAACAAUACUUCUUCCUCUCAAAUCCCAAGCUUCCUCUUUUUAUCAUUAUCCAAAAUAGACAGUGUCUGCUACUUAACCUCAGGCCAGCCCUUUCCUUUUUCCUCUUUAGUCUCCUAGUUAAACGACUGUGACUGAAUCCUCUAAAUGUGUGCUUUCUGUAGUCAGUUUUCUAUAGGUGUGAAAAAACACCUAAGCAAAGAACUUAAGGGAGAAAAAUAUUUCUUUUGGCUUUAAGUUCCAGAGAUUUCCACCUGUCACCAUGGGAGCGUGUUACAGAGCCGGACAGCUCAUCUCAUGGCAUCCAGGAAACAGAGGCAGAACACUUGAGCCAUUGAUCUUUCCCCUUCCCCCUUCAUCCCAUCAAAACCGCCAGCAAGGGAGAUGGUGCCAGUACUCAGGGGGUGUCCCGCCUUUGUUAAUCCUCUCUGGAAACACCCUUAUGGGUACACACAGAGAUGUGCUUUCCUCAUCUUCCAAGUGGUUCCUAAGUCAGUUAAGUUGAUAAUCAAGAUUAAUCAUUGCCUGUGGCUUCCAAUGUUGCCAAAGAGAAGUCUUUAUUUCCUGCCUUGAAGUAUUAUAGCAGAGGGCACAGUCUGGGAUGAAAGAAGAGCGAAUAUAGAAACAGUUUAGGGGUGGAGUUACAAUGCAUGGGACGUCUCUGGAAUUUUUCCUAUAAUAAAUGAAUUCCAUAUCACUUAGCUAGUCUCAGGAAGUAGAUAGAGCCCUUUCCAUUUUGGUCCAGGUUGGCUCGGGGACUUUUAAAACUGGUGCUUGGCACUAGAACAUGUCAGGGCUGUGCUUCCGAAGGGAUGAAGAAGGUAAGACAUGACAGAAACAGUGUCAGCAAACACAGCACUGUCUGACAGAGACUCGGGGCUAAGCGUUUUAUAUAAUCAUCUCUUUUCAUUCCUAGUAUAAUCCUGUGAAGUCAGUUCAACUAUUAAUUCAAAUUUUAAAGAUAAGGUUAAGUAAGUUACCCAGAGUCCCAGGGCAAUAAUUUGUGAUAGCAUAACUCCAAUGUCUGUUCACUUAACUAUUUGAUUACUUUCCAUCAGGAUACAGAAAGAUUAUAAGGUAAGGACUGUGGAUGGAGACAAACUCAUAUAUAUGAAGGGUCUAUGUUUCAAGCCCCAUCUACAGUCAUUUCAUAUGACCUUCAAAAUGUGUAUUUUGUUUAAACUUUUUUAUAAACAAGGAAGCUAACAGUACAAUUUUAAAAAAAUAUGAAGGUCACACAUGUGAAAAUUGUAGAACCAAUGUUGGACUUGCACAUUGUACAGAAAGUCUACAGUUGCCUUACCAUGGCAUGCAGCUUGACUACACAAUGUUCCAUCAUUCCUGCUUUGAGACACAAUGACUGCAUCACACGAUUCAAGUACAGAGUAGAAUUUAUGACACAUUUCUUCAUCAAAAAGCAUCUUUGAUACAGAAAUGAAAAUAGAUCCUCUUAACUUUGCUACCAUCUUUGUUUUUCUGAAGUCAAGAAAAUAUAUGCAGUAUGUUCAAGUCGCAUAUGGCCUGUAGUUCAUGGCUAGUUUUUUUCUUAAAAGCACUAUUUCCAGGGUAAGCAGGGCAAAAAGCAGACUGCACUGACUCAAUGUUUUAUCUCAAGCAGAGAAAAGAAAAAAAGGAAUGAAGACGUCAUCACUCUGUUGAUUUGCGCACAUGUAACCAUGAUGCUGUGAGUCUGGGUUGCUUGGAGAAUGUGCUGGGUAAAGGAGCAGAGGACAGAGGGAAACUUCGAGUGCUCUAGCAUGGCACAGCUGAGUGAAAAUUACCCUUACAUCUCUGUGUGUUGGCCUGGCUGUGAAGAAGAGAAAUGCCCUUCAUUUCCCAGUGGGACAAAUGUCAACAAGCACCAUAUGGCAUGUGAGGCUGGGACUUGUCCUUUGCCUGUUCUGAGGAAACAGCUCCAACCUAUGUUACUUUUGUGUGUGUGACAUUGUCACCAAAGGCACAGCAGGCAUCCUGAGAGCAAAAUCUACCCUGCACUUCUUUGGAGAGGCAUCCAGAAGGUGGGCAGGUGCUUUUUAGUAAGUGUGGGUGAAGGAGAUUGCCUUAUGAUGCCCAUUCACUUCCUUCCUCCUCUAGCAACUGAACAGAUGUGCAGUGAGGAGUCUAUUUCUUCAUUUCAGCGAAUCUCACGGAAACUCACCCAUGUGUCUGUGGACAUUCCUUCCUUCCACAGUUCCUCCAACCUUUCCAUUGCCAUCAUCUCCAUGUACUUUGGCCAUCAGCCACUUCCUUUUCUUCCAAGCUUUUCCGUAUAACCUCUGAGCGCAGGGAAGAAUGGACACAGGUGCCCUCACCUCAUCAUGUGGAUUUCCUCCUGCUUUCUUGGAAGGAUGGAAGUCAGUCUCUGUACUUCACCUUCGGUAUUUUUUAAAAUGUGAUCCCUAUAAAAGAUUUAUAUAUUAAAAAUGUUUUGUGUGUA